Molecule: ribosomal RNA, 253 nt
Filed under: uncultured bacterium
Lineage: Bacteria
Description: partial 16S ribosomal RNA
Rfam family: Bacterial small subunit ribosomal RNA
Source: RNAcentral
AACGUAGGAGACAACCGCUAUCCGGAGUUACUGGGCGUAAAGGGCGUGCAGGCGGUCUGUUAAGUCUGGCGUGAAAGCUCUCGGCUAAACCGGGAGAGGUCGUUGGAUACUGGCGAACUAGAGGAUGGUAGAGGCGUGUGGAAUUCCGGGUGUAGUGGUGAAAUGCGUAGAGAUCCGGAGGAGCACCAGUGGCGAAGGCGACACGCUGGGCCAUACCUGACGCUAAAGCGCGACAGCAUGGGGAGCAAGCGGG